Molecule: ribosomal RNA, 254 nt
Filed under: uncultured bacterium
Lineage: Bacteria
Description: partial 16S ribosomal RNA
Rfam family: Bacterial small subunit ribosomal RNA
Source: RNAcentral
GACAGAGGGUGCAAACGUUGUUCGGAAUUACUGGGCGUAAAGCGUGCGCAGGCGGUUUGCUAAGACAGGUGUGAAAUCCCCGGGCUUAACCUGGGAACUGCGCUUGUAACUGGCAAGCUGGAGUGUGGCAGAGGGGGGUGGAAUUCCAGGUGUAGCAGUGAAAUGCGUAGAGAUCUGGAGGAACACCGAUGGCGAAGGCAGCCCCCUGGGCUAACACUGACGCCUCAUGCACGAAAGCGUGGGGAGCAAACAGG